Molecule: ribosomal RNA, 261 nt
Filed under: uncultured bacterium
Lineage: Bacteria
Description: partial 16S ribosomal RNA
Rfam family: Bacterial small subunit ribosomal RNA
Source: RNAcentral
GACGAACGCUGGCGGCGUGCUUAACACAUGCAAGUCGAGCGGUAAGGCCCUUUCGGGGUACGACGAGCGGCGAACGGGUGAGUAACACGUGGGUGACCUGCCUCAGCUCUGGGAGUAAGACCUGGGAAACCGGGUACGUAAUACCGGAUAUGACUCCAUGACGCAUGUUGUGGGGUGGAAAGCCUUGUGCGGCUGGAGGAUGGGCCCGCGGCCUAUCAGCUUGUCGGUGGGGUGAUGGCCUACCAAGGCGACGACGGGUAG